UCAGACGAUGCGUCAUGCAUAUCAAUAAGCGGAGGAAAAGAAACUAACAAGGAUUCCCCUAGUAACGGCGAGUGAAGCGGGAAGAGCUCAAAUUUGAAAUCUUAAAGGGUUUCCCUUUACGAAUUGUAGUUUAAAGAAGUGUUUUCUGUUGAGGUUUUGGUAAAAGUUCUUUGGAAUAGGACAUCAUAGAGGGUGAGAAUCCCGUAUUUGACCUUUACUUUCAACUUUGUGAUACACUUUCAAAGAGUCGGAUUGUUUGGGAAUGCAGUCCAAAAUGGGUGGUAAAUUUCAUCUAAGCUAAAUAUUGGCGAGAGACCGAUAGCGAACAAGUACCGUGAGGGAAAGAUGAAAAGAACUUUGAAAAGAGAGUUAAACAGUACGUGAAAUUGUCAAAAGGGAAGCGUUUGACACCAGUGUUGUUUUUCUGAAAAUCAAUUAAAGAACUGUUUAUGCUAAGCUGUUUAGACUUUAUCAGCUAUCUGUUUAGUUUUGAGCUUUUCUUUAAUGCACUUUUCAGUUAACAAGUCAACAUCAAUUUCUUUUGCUGUAAAAAAGCUUGAGGAAGGUGGCUUGAGAUUCGUCUUAAGUGUUUAUAGCCUCUUGCCUAUGCAGUCGGAGAGAUUGAGGUCUGCAGCGUAGAUCCUUCGGGGCUAAAUGCAUUUGUGCUAAGUUAUAGCAUUUCAUAGACAACUUGUUGACUAUGAUUUGUCUUGUAGCUUACUCGCUUAUGUUAUUUUACCUACGCUUAGGAUGUUGAAUCUGUGCGAGACUAC
RNAcentral lists this ribosomal RNA (773 nucleotides) under uncultured Neocallimastigales. RNAcentral's name for it is "partial large subunit ribosomal RNA". It matches the Rfam family "Eukaryotic large subunit ribosomal RNA", at positions 18 to 644 of the family's 3401-position model. Lineage: Eukaryota; Fungi; Neocallimastigomycota; Neocallimastigomycetes; Neocallimastigales. The record is from RNAcentral.